This 23-nucleotide non-coding RNA is filed under the name Arabidopsis thaliana (thale cress). The record is from RNAcentral. Lineage: Eukaryota; Viridiplantae; Streptophyta; Magnoliopsida; Brassicales; Brassicaceae.
UACUCCAAGACUAGCCUCGGGAC